Prosopis cineraria is the source of this 482-nucleotide long non-coding RNA. RefSeq lists it as uncharacterized. Lineage: Eukaryota; Viridiplantae; Streptophyta; Magnoliopsida; Fabales; Fabaceae. The transcript has 3 exons. The record is from RefSeq and is a predicted model, not a curated record.
GGGGUGGAAGGUUGUUGUUUCUAAGUCCCACAUUGGUUAGAUGAGGGAAGAGAAGAGGUGCCUUCAUGUAUAAAAAGGAGGGGGUGUGUGCAUUAGGAAGCAUGAGAGGCUAAGAUGCAAUUUAGAGAAAAUUGCAACUUUGGGCCCAAAGGUUUGAAUAAUUAAAUUCAAACCUAUAGUUUUUUUUUUAUAUAAUUUUGGGACUCACAAUCCCAUUUUUAUAUUAUUUUUCUCUCUUCCUCUCACGUUGCUCGGCGUUUUCUCGCAAGGGGGGGAUUAUUUUCUUUUUUCUUCAGAUUAUAUUGACAAAGAUAGUGGUGAAAAAGGAGUUGUGAAGGGGAACUUGUUAUUCAAGACACAAGGAGCGAAUCCGGCCGAGAAAGCACCAGAGGUGUAAUUAUGGUGUAUGAGACACCAUCUUUUACGUUGCCUCUUAUUUUGGAUUAUACAAUGUAUCUUGUGCCAACUUAGGACAUAUCUUG